This 119-nucleotide ribosomal RNA is filed under the name Ooceraea biroi (clonal raider ant). Lineage: Eukaryota; Metazoa; Arthropoda; Insecta; Hymenoptera; Formicidae. The record is from RNAcentral.
GCCAACAUCCAUACCACAUUGAAAGUACCAGUUCUCGUCCGAUCACUGAAGUCAAGCAACGUUGGGCACGGUCAGUACUUGGAUGGGUAACCGCUUGGGAACACCAUGUGACGUUAGUA